AUAAAAAGUUGUAUCCCAAGCAGAUUAGGCUGGCUGCGCACACUCCUUGCAAACAGGGUUUAUCCGUACUCUCCCAAGAGAGCUUACUUUGCAAAUGGAGUUGUUUUUUAACAAAUUAGCAUCUCAAUUUGCUGAAAGGAGUUUGUAACAUGGUGGAACUUCCAGUGCACUGUCAGGAACACCUGUACUUCUCUAACAAGGAUGCAAGGCUGCAUCUUGCUGGUUGGAUUUUGGAGUACCAGUAACAUGUUGAAUGCCUGUCGUGUCCACUGGUGCAUUUCUUAGGAGAUAAUCGCACAGCCAGAGGCUCCCAUCGCAGAUGUACAAGCAAUUUCAAGCACAGCACCCCAGGAGUGAAAACAUUCUCAUCUCUUGGACCACCCCAUUCCCUUUAAAUGAUGGGCUUUGCUUUCCGGAAAGACCUCACCAUUCUGCAUAUUCCCAAGCUGAGAACAUAAUUGCAGUGCGUCGUCACAACUCAUCACAGAAGUGAUUAAACGUCAAAAAAAAUAGAUGUUGACUUCAUGUGAGAAGAGGCAGAUCUAACAGAUGAGUGUCCCAUGAA
This is a long non-coding RNA of Columba livia (rock pigeon), 565 nucleotides long. RefSeq lists it as uncharacterized. The record is from RefSeq and is a predicted model, not a curated record. The transcript is spliced from 4 exons. Lineage: Eukaryota; Metazoa; Chordata; Aves; Columbiformes; Columbidae.